UGAACGCUGGCGGUAUGCUUAACACAUGCAAGUCGAACGGAAACGAUACUAGCUUGCUAGUAGGCGUCGAGUGGCGGACGGGUGAGUAACGCGUAGGAAUCUGCCUGAUAGUGGGGGAUAGCCCGAAGAAAUUCGGAUUAAUACCGCAUAAUCUAUUCGUAGUAAAGUGGGGGACUUUCGAGCCUCACGCUAUCAGAUGAGCCUGCGUAAGAUUAGCUUGUUGGUAGGGUAAAAGCCUACCAAGGCGACGAUCUUUAGCUGGUCUGAGAGGAUGAUCAGCCACAUCGGGACUGAGACACGGCCCGAACUCCUACGGGAGGCAGCAGUGGGGAAUAUUGGACAAUGGGGGCAACCCUGAUCCAGCAAUACCGCGUGUGUGAAGAAGGCCUGAGGGUUGUAAAGCACUUUCAAUUGUGAAGAAAAGUUAGCGGUUAAUAACCGUUAGCCUUGACGUUAACUUUAGAAGAAGCACCGGCUAACUCCGUGCCGGCAGCCGCGGUAAUACGGAGGGUGCAAGCGUUAAUCGGAAUUACUGGGCGUAAAGCGUGCGUAGGCGGUUUAUUAAGUCAGAUGUGAAAGCCCCGGGCUUAACCUGGGAACUGCAUUUGAAACUGGUCAACUAGAGUAUGGUAGAGGAAAGUGGAAUUUCUGGUGUAGCGGUGAAAUGCGUAGAUAUCAGAAGGAACAUCAAUGGCGAAGGCAGCUUUCUGGACCAAUACUGACGCUGAGGUACGAAAGCGUGGGUAGCAAACAGGAUUAGAUACCCUGGUAGUCCACGCCGUAAACGAUGAUAACUAGCCGUUGGGGGGAUUUACCCUUUAGUGGCGAAGCUAACGCGUUAAGUUAUCCGCCUGGGGAGUACGGCCGCAAGGUUAAAACUCAAAGGAAUUGACGGGGACCCGCACAAGCGGUGGAGCAUGUGGUUUAAUUCGAUGCAACGCGAAGAACCUUACCUGGUCUUGACAUCCUGCGAACUUUCUAGAAAUAGAUUGGUGCCUUCGGGAACGCAGUGACAGGUGCUGCAUGGCUGUCGUCAGCUCGUGUCGUGAGAUGUUGGGUUAAGUCCCGUAACGAGCGCAACCCCUAUCCUUAUUUGCCAGCACAUCAUGGUGGGAACUAUAAGGAGACUGCCGGUGAUAAACCGGAGGAAGGCGGGGACGACGUCAAGUCAUCAUGGCCCUUACGACCAGGGCUACACACGUGCUACAAUGGGAAGGACAAAGAGCCGCGAAGCCGCGAGGUGUAGCUAAUCUCAUAAACCUUUUCGUAGUCCGGAUUGGAGUCUGCAACUCGACUCCAUGAAGUCGGAAUCGCUAGUAAUCGUAGAUCAGAAUGCUACGGUGAAUACGUUCCCGGGUCUUGUACACACCGCCCGUC
RNAcentral lists this ribosomal RNA (1377 nucleotides) under uncultured bacterium. RNAcentral describes it as "16S ribosomal RNA". It matches the Rfam family "Bacterial small subunit ribosomal RNA", at positions 30 to 1398 of the family's 1533-position model. The record is from RNAcentral.